ACUGAACUAAAUACAUCAACUUUUACUGACUGUCUAUGAAACCUCUAUUAGUACUCACUCUAGGUAGUCGGGUCAUGACUUCCAACUAUCCUAACUGAAUACAUCUGAAUAAAGAAAAUACAAUACUUCUCAAAUUGUAUAACUGACUCAUGACUCGAUCCCUUGAAUUAAGAGGACUUAUGACCUGCCGAUUGGAAGCUGCAAACUAACUGAAUAUGGUAUAUGUGCUACAGCUUGUACCUACAUUAUGAGACAAUAUAGCACAUAGACAUAUAUGUGGAUUAGCACUUUGAGGAUGUACUGAGUAUAUCAGGGUGUAUGCAAUAAUUAAAACCAAUAUGAUCAAUAUUUAUCGAAAUCAUGCAUGCUGAUAUAAAAGACUCACAUAGCUUGAAUAACUCUGAAACAUAUAUCUCAUAAAUCAUGGAUAGUGAAGCAUUAAAUAUAAAUCUCGUAAGUCGUUAUACCAAAUUCUAAAAUCUGCAUUCUUCUCUUAUUCUCAAAACUUGUAAGCUAAAAGAAUCUUUAAAUAAUACUUUCAAAAGUUAAACCUUUAUCUUGAGGAGAGUAGAACUUCUUUGAAACUUAAGGAAUCAAAACUUAGGGACUUAAACACUUGGGACACUUAGGAAAUCUUGAAACAAUAACUUUCAAAACACAUAUUUUAUCUUAAGGAAAAUAGAACUUUGGGAGUUUCUUCUAAUGACAUAAACCAUGUGAGUUACAUAGUGUCCAACGUCUUACCCAUAUUGAAGAGAGUUGUUCUAUCCUUGAUAUCAGAAUAGAACCUUAACCUUAGUGUAGUGAUCUCUAUCUCGACCUCGGGCCUGCAAAUCUCAAUCCUAUAGUGGCACGUAGUUCUGGGGUAUGAGACUUUGGAAUCAUACCCAACUCGAUGCUAAAUACUACUCCAUACUUAGCUUAGAACUGUUAGGAAAUCCAUUUCAAAUUAACUAAAGGGUCUAUAAUGAAGAACAAAUUAUGCUUCUCUCUGCUUAAUGUAGAUUUCUAUCUUAGCUUAAAAUCAAAAGAUCAAUAUUUUCUUCUGAAAGCACUUAUCAAACUUUUCAACAAAACUUGAGAUCAUAAUCUCCUUAGGUCUGAAAAUAUAAAGCUUUAAUGCAUCAAAAUCAUAUUUGAACUUCAUGCUCAACAAUCAUCUUAAAAGCUUUGAAUCAUGUCAAUCAAGAUAUUAGAAAAUAACUCAAAUAAGAAUCUCAUGAUUUCAACAUCUCAAACUUAUGCUUGAUAACAAAAUAUUCAUAGUCAUCUUAAAAUCUUGAAAUUUCAUCUAUACAUGCCAAAAUAUAAACAUACUCAUGUAAUUCUUCUUCUAAAAUAAUGAAAAUAUCAUAAUCUCAUGAAUAGCAACAUAGGAUACAAACCCAACUUCAUUUUCAUAAGAAACAGGUAAAAUCAAAUAACUCUCACAAUAAAAAUCAAGUUUUGGGCAUAGGGACGAACAGGUUGUCCUUGUUGAAACCCCACAUACCUUGGAUUAUGAGUUUUUGAUGAGAACUUGCUUUAGGGACUCUGUUUGUGCUUUUGAUGGAUGAUUCUUGAAGAUCUUAGUUUGGGGAUUCUAAUUCUUGAAUCAAUUUUGGAAUUUAAUGAUGAAAUUUUGAGGGAUAUUGAACCUUAGGUUGAGUACAUAAGGUUUGGUUGUUGAGAGGAUUUGAGAGAAAGAAGUGUAUUUUGGUGAAAUAGAGGCUGAAUUCAAUGUUUAUGGAGCUAUGGUGUGAAGGAAAAAAAAUACCAAAAUACCACUCUAAACUAUUUGGAAAAUGCUGAAUUCUAUGGCUAACGACAUUAGGCUGAUGCCAUCACAUAUGUACAUAAGCCAUCAGCUCAUGUCGUCACUUGAUGUUGGAAUUUAUGAAUUUAUGCCUAAGGCUAAUGGCAUUAUGUAAUAAGUCAUCAGAUAUGUAAUAAGCGGUCAGAUAAUGUUGUCACUUAGUUGCCAGGCUGACAUGCUGGAGUAAAAUAGGUAUAACUUUUUGGUUCAAUAUCGGAUUUGGGCAAAAUUAGUAUCGUUGGAAAACUAAUUCAAUUAUCUAUUUGUUGUUCUGUUAUGAGCUCAAAAAUUCAUAUUAUAUUGAGAGAUAUACUUGUUUGAAGUUGACUAUACCAAUAUCAUUCUCAAGAAUUCAAUCAGUAAGGAAUGUUUUGAUUCGUCUAAUAGAUAGGACACUUUUGAGGCCUUAAUACUCAUUAAACUAGAUCACGCAAAUACCAAAACACUAAAAUUUAUUUCUCAAGAGCUUUAAGCGGGGUUCUACUAUCAGUUGUAAAUCUUGGAGUAUUACACAAACAUCACAAUAAUCUUCAAAAUUCAAUAAACACUAGUGAAUUCUACCUACAAUUCAUUAACUAAUCUACCCCUUUCCAUUUACAACCUCUAACUAAUUUCUAUAACCAUCAUAACUAUCCACUCUAGGCUCCUUCCCUAUUUUGAGCAAAUAAUAAUCAUAUCCAGUCACUUCCUUCACAAACUACUAUACAAUCUAUAAUUAUUGCUACCACAUUAGUCUAUCACUAUAAAAUGGCACACCAUCCCUCAAUGAAUGGUUAAACAGCUAAAACAACAGCUAAAAUAAUUUAUUUACCUAAAAGUCUCCCUGACUUCUAACCUUGUGACUUCAUAUCACCAACUUUUUGGCCAAUCUCACUAAUAAUAGGUCAUGCCACUUUAACAUAUACUACUACUCAGGUGGAAAUAUAGUUCCAAUAUUCUGCUACAUAUUAUUAACCUAAUGCAAGACAUCUAUAGAAAGAAUUUUGAAAGGGGACUGAACUCACUUUGUACCUCAGGCUGAAAAGUACAAUUUUCAAUUUUCAUAUUGCGUUGCGAUGGGGAAAAGGUCGUAGUACAUCUCGGGUAAGUUUCAAAAUUUUUUGGAUAGCGUAAGGGCAUGUUUGGGUGACUAAAAUAGUUGCAAAAGGCGAUAAGACUGUGUCUCCCAGGCUAGAGCACCGCUCCAGGAAGGCGGUCACCCUAGCUACAGCACUGCCAUAGCAAGGUGUCUCCUAGGGUACCCUAAUGGAUUUGCUAGGCGCCGCCCUGGAUAUAGCCUUUUUGCCCAAUUUUCAACAUUCCACCUUCAUGUUUUGGAGGGCAUUUUGGUCAUCCUCCCAUCCAUAUAUAAGCCCUUUAACACGAAAUUCAGCUAUUUAGAACCCAAAAUAUUGAGUUUCUCUUAAAAUAUGUUCAAGAGCAAACUUUGGGUUUCAAUAAAGGAUCUAAAUUCAAGCUUAUAUUCAAGAAUGUCUCGUCAGUCCUCGUGAAAUCAAAAAUUAAGGUAUGCAUAGUGUUCAUUCAUGGACUCCUUAUGUCCAUGAAGCUUAAGAAUCCCAUUUUUACUUAUAUAUCAUGGUUUUUAUGUUGUGAAGUGAUUUUGACUUUGGUUAUCAUGUUGUAUAGUUCCAAAUUUGAGUGUUUAUGUGUUUUUAUGAAUCUAUGAUAUCAUAUAAGUUGAAAAUAUGUAAAUUUGGUUGUUCAUGAUGAAUAAUUUGAUCACUUCACCUAUGCCUAAAUUGUGCAUGUAAGGUGUUUGGUAAAAUGCCUAAGAGACUAGAAAUCAUGUAUUUUAGCUAAAUUGUGACCUAAACGACAAAUGCAUGCUAUAACCUUAUGAAAACAACGACUUCUGUGAUAUGGUUAUGCAUUAUGGUUCUUGAUAGGAUGUUCAUGAAACUAGGUAGUUGGACUUAUGGCAUGGUAUAUGCAUUCUAUUCCAUGUAUAAGAUUUUGAGAACCAUAUGUAGUAUGAAAUCCCCAACUUAUGAUAUUAUUGUAUUAUGUACUUUAGUCCUAUGAUCUAAAUGUGUCAUGUUAGGUUAGUUUCCUUCUAUCGAGUCCUGGGGGUACUUGUACCCAAAAAAUAUAGUUGUUUUCCUAGAGCCAGUUUAAUGUUUUAACGAUAUCCUUAGUCAAGACAUGUUCUUUAGAAUUCAGUCAGGCAUGUGACUCAGCAAAGGCUCAGUAAAUCUCAGAAAGCUCAGUACUAUUCCGUCAAUCAAUGGAACUCAUUUAACUCAGUCCAGUUAGUUUAGUUAUUCAUGAUUCAGCGUCUAUCUAGUUAGGAGUAGAAAUUAGCAUCGAGUGAACCCAAGGGUGGGAACAAACAAUGUUAGAUAAGGGUGUGAUUCCUUGUAGAAAUCAUUGCAUUCUAGAAAUAUGUAUCUAGCAUUGGUUGAGACAUCAAUGCUAUAAUAACGAGGGUUGAUGAGGUGGAUCAACACUGUAAGAUGAAGGUUCUGCCAUUCUCUUUUGGGGGAUACUAUCAGAUGAGGGUCACCCAUAGAUUGUCCUUACCAGUGGCACGAUAUUGACAUCUUUCCAAUUAGGGUUAUAGAUUGGACCCGAACUGUGCUAUAAUAGCUCAUUCGAGGCAUUUUGGUUAGAUGACUACUUCCUAAGGUCUCAGUUUUAGAUUUCAGGAAUGUCAGAUAUAGUCACUCAAUUUCAGUAAAAGAACUCAGAUAGUUCUUUUGAUUUCAGGACUGUCAGAUACAGUCAACUCAAAAUUGUACACAACUCAGCUAGUUCCAUUAAAACGUAGACUGUCAGAUACAGUUGCUUAGUUUCAGUUAUAACAAUUAUCAGCAACCCAUGUUGUUAGUAUUCAAACAUAGAAAUUAGUGUUGUCACGACCUUAAUUAUAGUUACGUAUGCAUGUAUGCAUUCUCACGCUCAUAUCAGUCAAUCAAUCAGAAUUUGUUCAUGCAUAUGAACCCUUUCGAAUUUAGCCUACCUCACUUGCAUACUUAAUAUAUUCAGUCAUACUGACGUAUUCACGCUAUUAUGUUUCUAUGCCAUAGGUUCCAUGACACGAGUUCUAGAUCCAGUGCAGCAGUAGUAUUCCAGCUUUUAGUACUCAGAGUCAGUGGUAAGUUCUCAUCAUGCGAGGACGAGAUUAUUUCAUUAUUUUAUUACUUUAGUAGACGGAGUUAGUUGGGGACAUGUCCCAUCAAUUCUUUAUUCAGAUUAUUAAGACUCCAGACUAGUCCAGACUAGAUUUGGAUUUAAUUCAGACAGUUUGUUUUGGGUAUUCGAUACCCCACCCAGAUGUUAUAUUUUAUUAGGUAUGCAAUUUUGAACCUUAUGGUCUUUCAAUUCAUGUUUCUGCCUUUAUAUACAUAUAUUAUGCAGUGUACAGGUACAGAUAUCAGUCAUAGGUUAGCUUGUGGUCCUUUGGGGUCAUGAGUACCGUGUAGCGUUUUGGGCACCAGGCUUAGGGAAUCACAACAAGUCCCCAAGUUAGACCAUGAAUUAAAAUAAAAUAGUAAUAACAAGUUAUAACUCAGGCCUUCCGAUGUAAGAGAGGCUCACCAGCCGCAAACUUUCGACAAGUCAAUCUACUUCUUAACGAGAAUCUUGGAUUGUGUCUUGGAAUACUUAAAUAUAAGGGGUUAAUACAGAUGUACUAGUAUGCAUAUCCAAUUUCAUACCCUAUUUUUACUUGAAGGUCUAAACUAGCACGACGUUAUGGACUCUAAAAUAAUUUAAACUUAUGUACAGAGUCGCCAUCUAAUUUUAAAGAAAAAUAAGGAAACCUAUUGAAUUAUUAACAUGUAUAAUCAAUGUUUCAAUCUGUGAAAAACCAAUUGAGAUUUUAGGUAAGGGUUUAAAUUAUCUCAAAGGGAAGGGAUUAGGAACCCUUCGAGAUCCACAAUUGUGGUACCCGGCUAGACUAAAUUUAUCAAAGAAAGAGGAGGUAUAUUUAAAAUAUAUAUAAAAAUUUGUAUGUAUAUUAAGUAUAAAAUAAUUUCAUUGAAAAAUAUAAAUGUUUUUAGACUAUGUAAAGGCAUAUGUAUAUUAACUGUAUAAAUGAGAUGUAGUUAUAAAAUAUAUAAAUGUGCAUAUGAAAAGGAAGAGCUUUUUAUGAUGCAUGAAAAAAAAUGUAUUUUUUAUGGCAUGAAAAGUGAUGUAUUUACAAGCAAUAUUUUUAUUUGAUUAAAAUUAGAAAGAAAAGUAAAAUUUAUUUGAGAGAACAAUACGUGAAUUACUUAAUUAACUUGAUUCUUCUAUUAAGUAUAGUAAAAUAAUAUAUAUGUUUUAUUGUAAAAAAAAUUUAUAUUAGUAUAUGUAUGUAAAAAAUAAACUAAAUCGAAAUAAGAAAAUUUAAAAAAAAAAAAAGAAGACAAUGUAAUAUGCGAAUAUGUAAAUUAGUUGAUUAACUUAAUUGUUUUAUAUAAAUAUUAAUGGCCUAAGUCUUGCAUAAAAGCGAUGAAAAUAUGUAAAUGAAGGAUAUCCUCGCCCGAUACCCAAAAAGGAAAGUUUUUAGUAUUUUUGUUAUUUGUACAAAUGUGAGAAUAUAAAAUACAAUAUAAAAUUUAAGGACUCCUUUGACUGCAACUGCUGACGAGUAUUCCAAAAUAACCUGUAUAAAAACUUGUAAAAAAAUGUUAAUAAUAAGUAAAAAAUAAUAAAAAUAAAUUGAACAAAUAUAUCUGCAUAUGAGUAUUUAAAAAUAUAUUUUUUUGUUUAAAAGUGGACUCAGAUAAAUUCAUGACUAUGAAAUAGUUGCUAAAUUAAUUGGUCAUCCUAAAUCGUAUUAUUACGAAGUGGUUGCUUAAUUAUUGGCCGUCCUAAAUCGUCUAGCCAAAAUAUAAAUUGUAAAAUCUUAUGUUGUUAUAAAGUUUCAUCAUUGUCCAAAAUAUUUAUUUAUUAACAUAUUUGUAUACAUAAAAUCCAUCUUUUGUUUACGAACACCUCAACAUUAAUAAGAAUUUUUUCAUUGACAAAUAUCUUGUUCUUUAUCAGUCAAAUAAAUUGUAACUAACAAAAUUUAUCCAAAAUCAAUGUCUGAUAUUUUAAUAGCAGCAGACCCAGUGACAAAAUAAUAGAAACGGAGCAAACUAACAGUAAUAGCAAAAAGUAAGGAAACAUCAGCAAAAUAAAAGAAAACCCAUGGUCAAAAGUCUGGCUAGAUCUAAACAAAUUAGACAAAACAAGAAUAAUAAGAAUAUUAUCAAGCAUUAAAUAAAUAAAAGCACCAACCAAUACCGCUGCUUCGACCAUGAUGAAACGCCGGAGCAGUUGGUGGCAAAUAUACGAGCGCAAGGAGGUAUCGCCGGAGCUACUCUCGGAGGAGAAAGAACAGCGCAAUGAAGGAGAAGGGGGAGGUUGCCGUGUGAUCGAGACGAAGGGAGGCGGCAUCUGAUAGAGGCUCGCCGGUCCGACGGCCGUCGUUGGCUGCUGCUGUUGCUGGCUUGUGGUUGGUGGUUGCCGGUGUUGUGGGUUGGUGGGUGGCUACUGAAAGAUUAGAAGGAAGGGCGUGAAGGUGGUUUUAUCUUGAUUGGCAGUGGAUGUCACCGGAGUUCAGCCGUGCUCACCGGAGGAACGAGUAAAGAGGGUGGGUGUGUUCGGAGAAAGUUCUGAUUUUGUGUGUUCUAUCAGUGUGUGUACUGUGCCUUGUUGUAUAUAAGAAAAAGGAUCUCAUAUAUAGUGUAUUGUGAUUUGUGUGUAAUGUAUCCGUUUGAAAUGAAACGUUGCAAAAGUUGACAAUGCCCAAGAUUUUCUUUGAUUCAUUUUUGACUUGUGUAGCAUAAAUCAAAUUAAACAUUACUUUCUUUGUCUUGAGAUGACAUAAAGAAAAGCAAAAUUUGCCUUUUGUCUCAACAAUGUUUGAAAGAAAACACAUUCUAAAACAAACAACGAAUCUUU
Molecule: long non-coding RNA, 7669 nt
Filed under: Capsicum annuum
Lineage: Eukaryota; Viridiplantae; Streptophyta; Magnoliopsida; Solanales; Solanaceae
Description: long non-coding RNA (CANN_LNC008968)
Source: RNAcentral